Molecule: non-coding RNA, 1050 nt
Organism: Solanum lycopersicum (tomato)
Lineage: Eukaryota; Viridiplantae; Streptophyta; Magnoliopsida; Solanales; Solanaceae
Source: RefSeq, a predicted model, not a curated record
CAUCUAUUCAUUUACAUAUUCAUAGUUCAUAUCAUACCCAAUGAAAAAUAUUGAAUCCAAUUUUAUCGUGUUAAGAAACUUGGUAAUAGCUAAUUGCAUACUACUUCAAUUUUUUUUAAAAAAAAAAAUUUACAAAAAUUUCUUAAAUUUGACGGAAUUUGAAUACAUCCAAAAUAUUCAUGUAUCCCACAUUUCGAUUUCAAAUAUAUUAUUUAACUUCUUGAUAUAUUGCAUUUUGAUUUCGAAUAUAUCAUUAUACAUCACAUAAAAUGGCGUAUUCGAAAAUAAAAAAGAACAUAAAUUUUUAUAACUUUUCAAAUAAAUUGUAUGUUUCAAGUAAUUUUUCCUAAGUCAUACAAUAGAUUUACAUAACAACAAAAUAAAAGGGAGACAAUUUUUUUUAAAAAAUUUAAUUAAUAAAAAUCAUUAUAAUUAUGCAUACUAUUUUUAUUUAGACAAAUUAUUGGUAUUUGUAUUCAUCGAAAUUCGAAAAAAGGGGAAAGAAACAGAAAACUGAUAAAAAAGAAAAAUCGGAGUGAGUGUAGAAAAUAAGAAGAAGCAAAAAAAAAUAAAAAUGGCUCGUAGUCGAUUUUCAGGAUCAUUGAUUUCUCCUAAAGUGGAUCUACGCAUUGAUUUGGGAAACCCUUUUCUAAAUCACACUGUUGAUGCUUUCUUGAAGAUCGGCACUGUUGCUGCUACCAAAACUGUUGCUGAAGAAACUUAUGGGAUAGUGACUAGAGGUUUGCUUCUAAUUCCAUUUCUUGAAUAUCCAAUUUCAAAUUAAUCAUUCAUCUUUAAUUAGUACUUCAUCCGUCCCUAAUUACCUGUCCACCUUUUGGAUUGCAACACUUAUUUAUCACUUGCUUAAGAUUUUCAAAAAGUUUUAUCCAAAUAAAAGUAAAGUAGACGAAUAACUAGGAACAGAGGAAAGUGGACCAGUAAUUAGGAAUAAGGGAAAGUGGACGAGGAAACUAGUAAGAUUGUCGUGUCAUUUCGUGCACAACAUGUAUUUGAAAAUUGAAAAUAAAAAAUCAACUCUUAGAUAUUGUU